This is a non-coding RNA of Parasteatoda tepidariorum (common house spider), 1231 nucleotides long. The record is from RefSeq and is a predicted model, not a curated record. Lineage: Eukaryota; Metazoa; Arthropoda; Arachnida; Araneae; Theridiidae.
GUUGUACCCACAGACAUAAGUCAUCGACUUAUCUACAAACAGUUAAACAAAAAACAAAAAAAAACGAAAAAAACACGUUUUCGGGUGAGAUUCCAAAAAAUGUCGGUACUUUUGUUUUAUUAACACUGAUAUUUGCAUUUCUAAAUUUGUAUCACUAAAUGUGAGUUUUUGUUAUAAAAGAUAUAUUAUCAUGCUGUAAUAUUUAAGCUACUUAUAACAAAAAAUGUUAGCAAUUAAAAGUGAUUUGCAUUUAUAAAGUAUAAAUAUACCCUUGGACAGAAAUUAUGAGAAUAUUUAUAGAAAAUAUUUAUUAAAUUCGUUUCAACAAGAGUAUUUUAUUUUAUGGUGCUAUCUCCUGUAUAUUGUAAAAAAGUCUCAUUAUCAACUGAGUGAAGAAAAGGCAUCUAAAGUUGAAAAUAUUUUAGUAAAAAAUUGCAUUUCCUUACUUGGAUACAAUUGCAUUGCCAGUAUCUUAUGACACUUGGUGUUUACCUAAGAUAUUAGUUAAGAAAAGGCUGCCUGACUUCUUUCUACUCCCACUGUGAAAAGUUGAAGAAAGGCAUUUACAUUGUUAUUAGACUAUAAUAUUGAUUGGUAUUUAAAUGUGAUGUUUAAUUGUUAUUCAUUUAUUACAUUGUAUAACUUAUAUGUAUUGAUAGUAACUUAAAUACUUUUAAUGCCUAAUUGCUGAUAACUUAAAUACUUCUUUUGGAAUACCCAAUCAACAGGAAAAUAUUGUAGAAUUUUUGUUGUAGCUUUUUCAAAAAGUUUUCUAAAACAGAAAUAGGAACUAAAAUCAAACUUAGUACACACGUAUAAAACCUUAUAAUUACACCUCAUAUAAAUAUCUUCAUUAAGAUAAUUAAACUAUACAAAGGUUAUUGAGAUGUAGCAGUCAGCAUGAGUUAAAAAGACAGAACGUGCCUAAAACUCAUACAGAAAAGAAUCUUCAUUUUUUUAGAGUAUGUGGUACAGUUUUUUUUUUCGCAGAAGGAACAUGUAACUAGACACAGUCACACUCGUACUUUGGAGCAACUUAAUUCUUAUAGUGUGUGCAAUAAGAAAGUUUCAAUGAAGAUGAAUUUAAAUCAACAUGAUAACACACACACUAUUCAAAAUCUUUAUUCUUGUGACAUAUGUAACAAAAGUUUUUCACAAGAGAGAACAUUGUCUACACACAGAUGUGUUCACACGGGUGAAAAACCUUAUUCUUGUAGUGUAUGUAACAAGA